UACGUAGGGCGCAAGCGUUGUCCGGAAUUAUUGGGCGUAAAGAGCUCGUAGGCGGUCUGUCGCGUCUGUUGUGAAAACUCGAGGCUCAACCUCGGGCUUGCAGUGGAUACGGGCAGACUAGAGUGCGGUAGGGGAGACUGGAAUUCCUGGUGUAGCGGUGGAAUGCGCAGAUAUCAGGAGGAACACCGAUGGCGAAGGCAGGUCUCUGGGCCGUAACUGACGCUGAGGAGCGAAAGCAUGGGGAGCGAACAGG
Molecule: ribosomal RNA, 253 nt
Filed under: uncultured bacterium
Lineage: Bacteria
Description: partial 16S ribosomal RNA
Rfam family: Bacterial small subunit ribosomal RNA
Source: RNAcentral